AGGACAAUGACAUUAAAGAUUCCUGUAUCGUAUGGCAUUCGAGGCCCUGGGCAUCUCCUUCAAGAGAGGAGGGCGGAGACUCCAUCCGACCCUCAAAAGCCUCUCUGCACACCAACAUAAAACAUACAGCAACUGGGAAGUCGGGAGCCUUUGCGAGUCUGGAUUUGUGCAGGGAUUCAGCCGGUCGAAGGCGUUCCCAGGAUCGGGACCGCCGCCAUCACAGGCCGGCAGCUUCGUGGAGAGCUGAGGGCCGGGAGGAGACCAAAGUUGGGCAAGUGGCCCCCAAGCAGAGGUAGCACCCCAUAAGUGGUGUUAUAAUUUAUCGUUUGUAAGAUUUAAUAAUAAUAAUAGCAUUUUCUUUAUAUCCCGCCCUCCCCAGCCAACGCCGGGCUCAGAUUUGUCUCGAAGUGCGCUGGAAAUGCGAUCGACUCAACCGAAAACCCACCCACCUCAGACGUAACGGCGGAGGAACAUUUGAUGCCCGUCAGAAGAUGCCCCACUGGGGGGGGGGUGCGUCUUGCCCCCUCCCCAAAUUGCAAACAGCAGAGCCCCCCAAACAGGAAAGAAACACACAACACACCAGACGGAGAAUCGGAGAAUCGCUUCUCAAAGGCCCUUUAUUCCCAGGUCGGCUGUGUGCCCCACGCCUCAAAUCUUGCACGGUGCCCACCGGGCAUUUAUCGGGAAAAAGGCACUUUCUUGUGGGGAGACCGGGGGUGCCUCCUUUUCACGCCAUGGUGGGGGCCGAGGAAGGGGCGGGGUCUCCGCCCCCCCAGGUCUUCCGUUUGGGGCGAGGGCAGCCAGUUCUCUCGCCAGUUCUGAACCCACACUACCCAAGCCCAGGAAAACCCGGCUGGCGUCUUCCUGGGACCCAGCCGGCCCUCAGCCCGGCUCUCUUAAGCCCAAGGAUGCAGGAAGGAGAGAAAAAGCACUCUGCGUGCGCUCAGAGGCCCCUCUGCGAAGCACAUGCCAGGCCCGGGGUUUUCCGCAGAAGUUCACCGGCGGGUUAGAGCGUGGCGCUGGUAACGCCAAGGUUGUGGGUUCAAGCCCCGCACGGGACAGCGGCGUAUUCCUACGUUGCAGCGGGUUGGACUAGAUGACCGUCGGGGUCCCUUGCCACUCUGCAACUCUAUGAAAUCUGCUCCGCUGAGCACCCAGCGGGUGAGGCUGCCGAAGAGCACAGGGCCUUCUCGGUGGUGGCGCCCGCCCUGCAUCCCAUCAGAUGUCAAGGAAAUAAACAACCGUCUGACUUUUAGAAGACGUCUGAAGGGAAGUUUUAUAAUGUCUGGUGUUUUAUUCUGUUUUUCAUCUGUUGGGAGCCACCUAGAGUGGCUGGGGAAACCCAGCUGGAUGGGCACGGUAAAAAUAUAUUAUUAUUA
This is a non-coding RNA of Podarcis lilfordi (Lilford's wall lizard), 1379 nucleotides long. Lineage: Eukaryota; Metazoa; Chordata; Lepidosauria; Squamata; Lacertidae. The record is from the annotation of a GenBank genome assembly.